RNAcentral lists this ribosomal RNA (1005 nucleotides) under Listeria monocytogenes. RNAcentral describes it as "partial 23S ribosomal RNA". It matches the Rfam family "Bacterial large subunit ribosomal RNA", at positions 408 to 1414 of the family's 2925-position model. The record is from RNAcentral. Lineage: Bacteria; Bacillati; Bacillota; Bacilli; Caryophanales; Listeriaceae.
CUGAGUACGGCGGAACACGUGAAAUUCCGUCGGAAUCCGGGAGGACCAUCUCCCAAGGCUAAAUACUCCCUAGUGACCGAUAGUGAACCAGUACCGUGAGGGAAAGGUGAAAAGCACCCCGGAAGGGGAGUGAAACAGUUCCUGAAACCGUGUGCCUACAAGUAGUUAGAGCCCGUUAAUGGGUGAUAGCGUGCCUUUUGUAGAAUGAACCGGCGAGUUACGAUUUGUUGCAAGGUUAAGCGGAAAAAGCGGAGCCGUAGCGAAAGCGAGUCUGAAUAGGGCGCAUAAGUAACAGGUCGUAGACCCGAAACCAGGUGAUCUACCCAUGUCCAGGAUGAAGGUAAGGUAAUACUUACUGGAGGUCCGAACCCACGCACGUUGAAAAGUGCGGGGAUGAGGUGUGGGUAGCGGAGAAAUUCCAAUCGAACUUGGAGAUAGCUGGUUCUCUCCGAAAUAGCUUUAGGGCUAGCCUCGAGGUAAAGAGUCAUGGAGGUAGAGCACUGUUUGGACUAGGGGCCCUUCUCGGGUUACCGAAUUCAGAUAAACUCCGAAUGCCAUGUACUUAUACUCGGGAGUCAGACUGCGAGUGAUAAGAUCCGUAGUCGAAAGGGAAACAGCCCAGACCACCAGUUAAGGUCCCCAAAUAUAUGUUAAGUGGAAAAGGAUGUGGGGUUGCUUAGACAACCAGGAUGUUGGCUUAGAAGCAGCCACCAUUGAAAGAGUGCGUAAUAGCUCACUGGUCGAGUGACCCCGCGCCGAAAAUGUACCGGGGCUAAACAUAUUACCGAAACUGUGGAUGAACCUCUUUAGAGGUUCGUGGUAGGAGAGCGUUCUAAGGGCGGUGAAGUCAGACCGGAAGGACUGGUGGAGCGCUUAGAAGUGAGAAUGCCGGUAUGAGUAGCGAAAGAAGGGUGAGAAUCCCUUCCACCGAAUAUCUAAGGUUUCCUGAGGAAGGCUCGUCCGCUCAGGGUUAGUCGGGACCUAAGCCGAGGCCGAUAGGCGUAG